Molecule: long non-coding RNA, 4758 nt
Organism: Ictidomys tridecemlineatus (thirteen-lined ground squirrel)
Lineage: Eukaryota; Metazoa; Chordata; Mammalia; Rodentia; Sciuridae
Source: RefSeq, a predicted model, not a curated record
AGAAGUUUAUUUUAUUUUUAUUUUCCACUCUUCUAGGUAGCAGACAUUACAUUUUCAUCCCAUUAGAGCUCUUCUCUCCUACCCAGAUUAUGUUCACAAGAGGAGGGGUUGGUUGGGAGAAGACAGUGUGGCUUUGUUAUAGUCAGGUAUAGAGAGGACUAACUUACAGUUUUAAAUACAUUGCAAGGUUUCUUAUAGAUGUAGUAGAGGGAACUACUCAGGAAUUGGUAUUCUGAAUAAUGAUAUCUUCAUUAGUUUGCUGACUCACAAAGUAAGGACUUUUUUAGUAAGAAGUGCCAGCUAGAUGUUAAAUUACAGUAAAAGAAACUAGGCAAUGGUUGAUGCCCAUGGAAUUCACUGAUCUUAAUCUCAUCCCCAUUAUAAGAAGCAGUUAGCUUUAUAGAAGGUGCAAUGAACUAUGGAAUACUCAAUUGUAUUAAAGUAGUUUGUGAAGGUGGAAACUGUUGCAAAAUCCAACAUGUGCUCUGAAUUGUCAACUAAAAUAAUGUUCUCUCUCCCAUGGCCAGAAGGUGCAUGUGCAGGAAUAAUGAAUUGAAGUAGAGAUGAAUCUUCUACCUAGUAGAGCUAAUGGCCCACUUCAAAAGCUUGUUUUAUGUCCUUGUGACUCUAGAUUCUGUUAGUUUAACCAUUUUAGUAUCUUGAGGAGAAGUGCUUCCUCCAGAGAAUAUAGCAACAGUUUUUAGAUUAAUUGGAAGAUUCACAAGGGUGGAGAUCUCCAAGGUGGGAAAGAUGGUUUCUGUCAUCCAUAUGCUAAGGAUUCCAUGACCAUUUUAGGUAAUUUAUGCUGCUGGAAAAAUAAAGAAUCAUGUUCUCAGCUGGGAUGGUUGAUUCUCACUAUGGAGAGGAAAUAGUGCUCUACCACUACAAAGACCAGAGUACAGAUACCUUCCUGGGCAGCAUCCUGUAGUCAUUUUAUGUCAAAUGAAUAAAGUGCAGCAGCCCCUUACAGGUCAGAUUCACAAGGGUGGAGAUCUCUGAGGCGGGAAAGAUGGUUUAUGCCAUCCAUAUGCUAAGGACUCCACACCAGUUACAAUGCUGGCUGAAGACAAAGGGAAAGUGAACAGUGCAGGAAAGGGAGAAGCCACAAAUAUCAUAGCUCCUUGCUCUCCACGCCAUAUCUACAUUUGUUUAUUUUAUCUAAUUCACUUUGUCUUUCUUGACUAUUUAUCAUACCAUUUUUAAAAUGUUUGAUUGGCUAAUUUUCCAUUUCAGGCCAUUGGCUAUAGAAUAUUAAAUGGGUAUGCAACAGAUAUUGAGGCAAAAGAACAACUCUUGGAGCUCUUAGAUUUUGAGCUAGAAGAAGUAACAGGCAAGUCAGAUGGUCCUUCCUUUUUGGGUGACGUUGAACAUGCCUUGAUUGUUUGAGGAGCAUUGUUGUAGGAGAGAGGAGUAUUUUCAAGCGAAAUAUGUGGAUAUCACAUAUUUGAUUGUUGUAGGAGAGAGGAGUAUUUUCAAGCGAAAUAUGUGGAUAUCAAGUAGGAAGAGGAGCUAGACUUGCAGAACAUCAGCUAUUGACCCAGUGUCCAAACACCCCUUUAUUUGGCAAAAUCCUCCAAAGUGUGCCUCUUAGUGGAAGGGAAGUUUCUUGGGAAGAGAAGCUGGAAUGGCCAGGCCCUCCUUCCCUAAGGGCUUUUGCUGCUGUUCAUCACCUAGCCUUGAAUGUUUGAAUAUUCUGGAAAGGAUGACACAAAGACACAAACCCAGUUAGAACUGAUUCUAGCUGCUAGUUUGAUAAUAUUGCGGGAAUCCAGCAUUGGCAGUGGUAGUAUCACAGUUCUAGAGGCAAGGACACAAAAUGUCUUGGGGUGGCAAUAUUGAAUUGCUGUUAUUAUCGGUGAUAGUGCUGAUGAGGAGUAGCACUAGGACAGAAUGUUCUUGGCUCCCUGCUGUUUACUCCACCUUGGUUACUCCACUCCCAAUUUCUCAGCCUGGGUUUUUUGGCCUUCCUGUUGAUUGAGUUACUGACACAAUAUCCUUUCAGUAAAUGUCUUUUCUUUUUCAUUAAGUUAGUGAUAUUUGGUCUCCACAGCAUAUAACCAAGAGCCUUGACCUUUAUGAGACUGAUUCAUGGAUAACAUUUUAUUUUUAUCUGAGGACAGUGAGCCAUACACCAAAAAAAGAACUACAUAAAAACUGCAAAGAUUCUUUAUUUGUAUGAUUGCUAUUUUCUUUACUCAUCUGUUCCUUUACAGAAAGAAAUAAUAAUAAAAAAAACAGCAGAAAACUCACUAGCAGAAAAUUAAAUUCUUCUCAGGGAGAUAAAUAUUUAUCUAGGAAGGAAAAUAUUGUUGAAUUUCUUUUAUGCCUUCUGUUCCCAAAGUUCCAUCUUUUGCCUCAGCCUGCAUUGUGAGUUCUUUGCCCUUUUUUUUCAUAGUCUAGUUCCACUGCUAGAUGGAGCUGGCCCACAGGCACAGGAGAAGGAAAAGAAAGUGCUUCAGAUUCUGCAGAAUGGGAAAUGGUGCACAGAGAAAUCACAUUGUUGGAGUAUCCAAGUCUCCUGUCAUCUCAAGCUUGGCAAAAUAAGAAACAGCUGACAUCAUGUUUCUAAAUAUACAACACUGUGCAACAGCUACCUGAAGCAAAAGCACAAGGGUUGAGAAGGCAAAAUAAUGACUUUUAGUCACUGGAAGGCAUCCAUGUUCAACAGACUGUCAGGAAGUGACAGUUAUCCUACUAGAUGGAGCUGGCCCACAGGAGAAGGAAAAGAAAGUGCUUCAGAUUCUGCAGGCUUCUGAAUGACGUUCUGCCUCAUCUCGGAUCCAGAAAAAUGGAGUUGAGACCUUUGAAACCAUGAAUCCCAAAGAAACUUUUCCUCCUCUAAAAUGCUUCUUGUCAGAUCUUUUGGUCACAGUAAUGAAAAGCCGACUAAAAUAGUGCAUGCAGUAAGGAGCUUGAGAACCCACCUGGCUUUUGGUAUUGUAAACACAGCAGGGGAUGAUGGCUUUACCAGAGUCUUCUAAAAGGCCACAAGAUGGGGAUAUUGUUACUCUAUAAACUCAGGUAUUUUAAUUCAGUAAAAAAUAAUUAUUGAGCACCUACUAUGUGUUUGGCAUUGUGCCCGGCUCUGGGAUUACAGUUAUGAAUAAAACAAUGUUUGCUAAUUAGACUUUAUGGUCUCAUGGAGAAGGCAUAGAUUUGAGCAUGGAUUUAGUAGAGUACUUAGUUCAAUAAUGAAAGAAGUAAUUGGGGGCCAUAAGAAUGGAAGAUAAGAACACUAAACUCAAUUUAGAGAGGGCUGGAUGGAGCUCAUGAAAAGUCCCCAAGAGGAAAAAAUUUCUAAGUGAGACAUACAGAAUGGCUAUGCAUUACUUAGAAGCAGAAUUCUAAUGUAGACAAGAAUGACAUGCCUACAGAGACAGCAAACUCAGUCCUUUAAGACAACUGGAAAAUGUUUUAUAUAUAUACAUAUUUAAUUUAACACUUAAGAAACCUUGGAGUAGAGGAUUCAAGAUGGUAGGCUACAGGAAGUCUUCAUUCCUAGUCACUCCAUGGAUUGGGAUUCAAGCAACAAGAGUUCUGCUUCUCUGAGAUGGAUGAAAGAGGGAUUUCACUAAAACUCAAUAUUGGACACAUCACUGUGUCUUAGAGAUUCAGAAAUUUGGAUACGCUAAACAAAGAAGAAAGACUACAUUGGAGCCAAACUAGUUGCAGCAGCAGUGACAGCAGCAGCACUGUCAUCUCGGAGGGAAGGAGAACAUAGAGAAUCACAAUGGACAAAUUUAGUACCCAAAACCUGAGAUCAGAAAGGCAGCCUGCCUUUAGCUGAUCCACAGGCUGCAUGUGUCCUGGUGAUUGAAAAGUGUCCCAUGUUUCCCAACUGGUCAUGGAGAGCUGAGGCAGAGCCACUUGAGGCAGCCAUGCUGUGGCCGCUGCUGUGAGAGCCAAGAGAUCAAAGCCAACCUGGUAUACUGUCCUGGAAAGUGCAUACCACAUGGUACCUCGAGUGCACCUAGAAGAACAGGAAUGAAACAAACACAGAGAGUACUUUACAAGGGCAGUUCAAGUCAGAAAAUCCAAAGAGAGCCUAACUCACUUUCCCCUUUGAGUCUGGUGGCUCAUGUGACCAGCUGAAGCAAGUCCAGAAAUCUGAACAGGUAGGUGGAAAGGCAGCAGAGGGGGUGAAGGAUUGGCUUUCCAGCCCCUGGAGUACCAUUCUUGAGAGGUUUUAGAGAUCUAGAUUCCCAGCUCAGAUUGGCAACUGCCCAGUCCUAAGAGUGUAUUGAUCUAAUCUCUCUGGAGUGGACACUACCCAGCAAAUUCUCUGAGGCCUGAUUAGACCUCAGCUCAACCCACUGGAAUUCCCCUCAUAGCACUCUACCACAGCCCCACCCUGGGUGUAUAUAGAUCUGUUCUGUGCAGAUGAAACUCCAACUGACAGUACUUCCCAUCCCUGGCUGCUUCAUAUUGCAGAGAAGAGAAGCUGAUACUUAUUUGAACCAGCUUCAGUUUAGGCCACUCCAACUGGCAGCUUGGGGAGCAGUGCAAAAAGAUGAAGGGGUUAACAACCCUUGUCCCUUGCUCUCACUGUCAGUGCAGAGCUCAAGAAGAACUGGAAAGAAAGACAGUUAGGCAUAGAUAGUGAGCAUCUAUUCUUUCCAACCAUCUCAGUGGAAACAAUUAUUUCAUUGAGAAUCUUUUCUCUUUUUCUCUUGUGUGUGUUUUUGCUGUGCUGAUUGGUUCAUGGAUAUACACACCUAUACAUAAUUGUUUCUUUUUUUUUUCUAAUUUUUAGCAUUU